Molecule: ribosomal RNA, 177 nt
Filed under: uncultured bacterium
Lineage: Bacteria
Description: partial 16S ribosomal RNA
Rfam family: Bacterial small subunit ribosomal RNA
Source: RNAcentral
CCUACGGGAGGCAGCAGUGGGGAAUUUUGGACAAUGGGGGCAACCCUGAUCCAGCCAUCCCGCGUGUGCGAUGAAGGCCUUCGGGUUGUAAAGCACUUUUGGCAGGGAAGAAACAGCCUGGGAUAAUACCUUGGGCGAAUGACGGUACCUGCAGAAUAAGCACCGGCUAAUACGUGC